This 497-nucleotide ribosomal RNA is filed under the name uncultured bacterium. Its description in RNAcentral is "partial 16S ribosomal RNA". It matches the Rfam family "Bacterial small subunit ribosomal RNA", at positions 28 to 507 of the family's 1533-position model. The record is from RNAcentral.
GACGAACGCUGGCGGCGUGCCUAAUACAUGCAAGUUGAGCGAUGAAGAUUGGUGCUUGCACCAAUUUGAAGAGCAGCGAACGGGUGAGUAACGCGUGGGGAAUCUGCCUUUGAGCGGGGGACAACAUUUGGAAACGAAUGCUAAUACCGCAUAACAACUUUAAACAUAAGUUUUAAGUUUGAAAGAUGCAAUUGCAUCACUCAAAGAUGAUCCCGCGUUGUAUUAGCUAGUUGGUGAGGUAAAGGCUCACCAAGGCGAUGAUACAUAGCCGACCUGAGAGGGUGAUCGGCCACAUUGGGACUGAGACACGGCCCAAACUCCUACGGGAGGCAGCAGUAGGGAAUCUUCGGCAAUGGACGAAAGUCUGGCCGAGCAACGCCGCGUGAGUGAAGAAGGUUUUCGGAUCGUAAAACUCUGUUGGUAGAGAAGAACGUUGGUGAGAGUGGAAAGCUCAUCAAGUGACGGUAACUACCCAGAAAGGGACGGCUAACUACGUG